Molecule: ribosomal RNA, 1117 nt
Filed under: fungal sp. F246
Lineage: Eukaryota; Fungi
Description: eukaryotic LSU rRNA
Rfam family: Eukaryotic large subunit ribosomal RNA (bases 525-1117)
Source: RNAcentral
GCGAGUACACUGCUCCAGAAAACCGUUCCGUAGGUGAACCUGCGGAAGGAUCAUUACCGAGUGCGGGUCCUUUGGGCCCAACCUCCCACCCGUGUCUACCGUACUAUGUUGCUUCGGCGGGCGUCUGGCCCGCCGGAGACCCUCUCGAACGCUGUUGUGAACAAGGGUACUGUCUGAGUGUGAGAUGAAAAAUCGUUAAAACUUUCAACAACGGAUCUCUUGGUUCCGGCAUCGAUGAAGAACGCAGCGAAAUGCGAUAAGUAAUGUGAAUUGCAGAAUUCCGUGAAUCAUCGAAUCUUUGAACGCACAUUGCGCCCUCUGGUAUUCCGGGGGGCAUGCCUGUCCGAGCGUCAUUUCUGCCCUCAAGCACGGCUUGUGUGUUGGGUCGCCGUCCCUCUCAUUUCCGGGGAGGACGGGCCCGAAAGGCAGUGGCGGCGUCGCGUUGGUCCUCGAGCGUAUGGGGCUCUGUCACCCGCUCUGCAGGGCUGGCCGGUGCUUGCUGACCCGCAAUCUUUCUCUAAGGUUGACCUCGGAUCAGGUAGGGAUACCCGCUGAACUUAAGCAUAUCAAUAAGCGGAGGAAAAGAAACCAACUGGGAUUGCCUCAGUAACGGCGAGUGAAGCGGCAAGAGCUCAAAUUUGAAAUCUGGCCUCCUUCCGGGGUCCGAGUUGUAAUUUGGAGAGGACGCUUCGGGGACGGCGCCGGUCUAAGUGCCCUGGAACGGGCGGUCAUAGAGGGUGAGAAUCCCGUCUGGGACCGGUGGCCGUGCCCGUGUGAAGCUCCCUCGACGAGUCGAGUUGUUUGGGAAUGCAGCUCUAAAUGGGUGGUAUAUUUCAUCUAAAGCUAAAUAUGGGCCGGAGACCGAUAGCGCACAAGUAGAGUGAUCGAAAGAUGAAAAGCACUUUGAAAAGAGAGUUAAACAGCACGUGAAAUUGUUGAAAGGGAAGCGCUUGCGACCAGACUCGCACGGGGGGGCUCAGCCGGCACUUGUGCCGGUGCACUUCCCUCCGUGCGGGCCAGCGUCGGUUUGGGCGGUCGCUGAAAGGCGCCCGGAAUGUAGCACCCUCCGGGGUUAAAGUAGCCGGGUGUGUCAUGCGGCCCGCCGGGACCGAGGAAC